Schistosoma rodhaini is the source of this 45-nucleotide non-coding RNA. NCBI's taxonomy places the organism in Eukaryota, Metazoa, Platyhelminthes, Trematoda, Strigeidida, Schistosomatidae. The record is from Rfam.
AUUCAGCUAAUAAGUCCCAAAUAGGACGAAACACUCGUCCUGGAU